CAACUUUCAUGAAUAAAACUGAGUUUUCAGUCUCAGUCAAAACAAUCGCAAACAGGCAGAGUACAGUUGUCAAGAAUGACCCUCGAGUUAGAGAAGCAGUAGUGUCUUAUGAUGAGUCUUAAGCUGCGUCAAGUCAACGACAUGAAGCACCUAUGGGCGAGAUAACUCGAGUAGAUAGGACGUGGGCAAGACCCAAGAUAAGCUUUUCUCAAAUUCUACAUAAGCAAUUUAAGUGAGUGCUAAUAAGAGUGACAGAUGCCACCGACUGAAGUAAAUGCAUAAGCAGUCCCAGAUGCCAAAGCCCUGAUUGAAUAUCUUUGUUAAAGCCAAUAAAGUCACAUAUGUUGUGUUGCUGUGAAAGCAGGAAACUGCCCAUGCUGUCCAAAAACAGCUUUUUUUUCCUGCUGUAAAGGUGGACAUGGGAGCUUAUAUGAGAAUGACUCUUGGAGGAAUCACAUUGUUUGUCACAGCUGUACUGGCUUCAUUUUUAAUUGUUUUUAUUUUUCAGCCAUUUAGUACUGAUGAAGUACUUUUAAAGUGCAUUUAAGGAAAGUUCUCAUUUCUCAGUGGAGUGUCAGUAAGACGGUAUAAAGGAGUGGGGUCUGUAUAAGAACACAUUUUCAGAUGAAUAGGCAGUUGAUGUAGAAAUGGCGCGCAUUACAAGUCGAACUUGAUAAUGAAGAGUGUUUAUGUUGCUCCUCAGUACAGUAACUGCUGAGGUUACAGGAUUUACGAGUGCCCUGGAGCACAGAUCCAUUCCCCUACAGAGGCUUUGUGAUUGGUCCUGAUGGCUGCAGCCGUUUCGCUAUAUCACUUUGACGCCGUUUUAAUCCGCUCCAAUGCCUUAUCUUUUUCCCUCUCUCAAUUCCUCCAUCAUCCCUGCCUACACCCUCCAAGUACUGGAAGGAGCUCCGUCAGACCAGCUCAUGCAACAGAGCCAAAUGCCCCAACAGCCCUGGGUAUCUAAAACCUCAGCCUCCGGUCUCUCGGCCUUCUCAGCUUCAGUUUUUGUUCAGCUUCUCCCUGUUGUCCCUUUGUCAUCUAUAGCACACAUGGU
Oreochromis aureus is the source of this 1057-nucleotide long non-coding RNA. Lineage: Eukaryota; Metazoa; Chordata; Actinopteri; Cichliformes; Cichlidae. The record is from Ensembl.